CCAUCAAUAGUUUAUAAAAUAAAAUAUUUUUGUGGGAUAUUAUUUCAUCUCAGAAUAAGAACAAUUAAGAAUUUCCCUUUCGGGAGGGAAAGAAAAUUAGAACAUGGUUGAGAGAAUUCAAAACUUGUAUUCUAAAAAUUUUCUUAUGUUUACAAAUGAAAGAAUGGUCUCCUUUUAUAGGAGAAAAAGAGAGAAGAAACGUUUUUUUUUUAAAAGCAAGGAAUCUUUGCUUUUUUCAAAACGUCAAAAAGAAAACAGUAAAAGCUAUCCUAUCAAAUCUUACUUUAUAAAAUAGUAAGAUUUUUACAAAUUUUUUCAAAAAAAUAAACAGUAAAGAUUCUUCUUUUCGUACAAUAAUUCUUGAUUUCUAAAAAGUCUUUGAUUCUUUUCCUAGAAACUCUUGUCUUUUCUCCAGCUGUCUGAGAUAUCUGCAUCAAUUCUUUACACCUGUCUUAAAGAAUCUUUAUCUUGUUGCAUAAUUGUGUCUGCCAAUACUGUCUAAGGAGUCUCCUCCAUCAGUAAAAUCUUCUGGAUUAUCUUCUGAAUUGUUAUCUUUGGAGUCUUCCAAAUCUCUUUCUUGUUCAAUCUUCUUUUUACCUUUAUUUUUCUUUUUAAUUUGUAAUUUCUUUUUCUUUGUAGUACUUUGUUUAACUUGUUGCUGAAUAUCCUCAAUCUUAUCAAGCAUUUCUUUGAUCUUUCUAAUAUCUGAUUGAGAAAUAUGUUCUGGAUCUUGAGCUGAUUGGAAUGAUCCUGGAAAAUUAAUUGGGCUUCUCUGUUUAAGGUCUAUUGGACUAAUAAGUCUAGUAGCAGAAUUAUCAGUCUGCUGUGUCUGUUCUUUUAAAUUAAAUGUAACAGGAUUUUCAGCCUGUUGAGUCUGAGAAGUAGAGGAAUCAACAGUCCUCUGAGUCUGUUGAGCUUUUGGUAAGCCCAGAACCAUAAACGGAUUUGAUAGGUCUUUACCAGCUUCCGUUUGAGCUGGACUAGCUAUAGAAUUCUUGGGCUCUAUAGUACCUGUUUCUGUCUGAG
Molecule: long non-coding RNA, 1026 nt
Filed under: Olea europaea subsp. europaea
Lineage: Eukaryota; Viridiplantae; Streptophyta; Magnoliopsida; Lamiales; Oleaceae
Source: RNAcentral